Molecule: unclassified non-coding RNA, 251 nt
Filed under: Hevea brasiliensis (rubber tree)
Lineage: Eukaryota; Viridiplantae; Streptophyta; Magnoliopsida; Malpighiales; Euphorbiaceae
Source: RNAcentral
GUCAUGAUGAAAAUCAAAGAUCUGGUUGGGAAGAGAUGGAGUUCCAUUUUCAGAGGCAGAUGGGGAGAUGGAGAUCAAAAACAAUUUGAAAGCAGUUUACAUAUGACAGAAGAAGAAUGAAAACUAAUUUGAAAGUUGACAAAAAUACCGACAAGGGCAGAAAGCUUGCAAUCUCAAAUCAAAUAAUUUCUCCUGACAUGAUGAACUCGGCUGCAAUUGACCAAGUUAAGGAGAAGGGUGUGAAAUUUAGC